This 597-nucleotide ribosomal RNA is filed under the name uncultured bacterium. RNAcentral's name for it is "bacterial SSU rRNA". It matches the Rfam family "Bacterial small subunit ribosomal RNA", at positions 142 to 766 of the family's 1533-position model. The record is from RNAcentral.
AAUAACCCAGGGAAACUUGGACUAAUACCGUAUACGUCCUUCGGGAGAAAGAUUUAUCGGAGUUGGAUGAGCCCGCGUUGGAUUAGCUAGUUGGUGGGGUAAUGGCCUACCAUGGCGACGAUCCAUAGCUGGUCUGAGAGGAUGAUCAGCCACACUGGGACUGAGACACGGCCCAGACUCCUACGGGAGGCAGCAGUGGGGAAUAUUGGACAAUGGGCGAAAGCCUGAUCCAGCCAUGCCGCGUGAGUGAUGAAGGCCCUAGGGUUGUAAAGCUCUUUCAACGGUGAAGAUAAUGACGGUAACCGUAGAAGAAGCCCCGGCUAACUUCGUGCCAGCAGCCGCGGUAAUACGAAGGGGGCUAGCGUUGUUCGGAAUUACUGGGCGUAAAGCGCACGUUGGCGGACUAUUAAUUCAGGGGUGAAAUCCCGGGGCUCAACCCCGGAACUGCCUUUUGAUACUGGUAGUCUAGAGUCCCGAGAGGAGGUGAGUGGAAUUUCCGAGUGUAGAGGUGAAAUUCGUAGAUAUUUCGGAGGAACACCCAGUGGGCGAAGGCGGCUCUCUGGCUCGGUACUGACGCUGAGGUGCGAAAGCGUGGGG